AACGUAGGAGGCGAGCGUUAUCCGGAUUUACUGGGCGUAAAGGGCAAGUAGGCGGUGGCCAAAGUUGGGCGUGACAUUUUCCGGCUCAACUGGAAGGGGUCGUUCAAAACUAGGCCACUAGAGGGCAGGAGAGGGAAGCGGAAUUCCUAGUGUAGCGGUGGAAUGCUCAGAUAUUAGGAAGAACACCAGUGGCGAAGGCGGCUUCCUGGCCUGUACCUGACGCUGAGAGGCGAAAGCUAGGGGAGCGAACGGG
RNAcentral lists this ribosomal RNA (253 nucleotides) under uncultured bacterium. RNAcentral's name for it is "partial 16S ribosomal RNA". It matches the Rfam family "Bacterial small subunit ribosomal RNA", at positions 524 to 776 of the family's 1533-position model. The record is from RNAcentral.